GGGUGGUUGCGCUUGCGCUGUGUAGUUGGUGCGGGCGGGGCUGUGUCGUGUCCCGCCGCCGAUGCCAGCCCUGGUUUCCAGACAUGCUUACCAACCUGAUAUGAUGAAGGGAAGGACUAAUGGAUACCCCCCUCAGCAUGAAACAUGCUGGAGCUGAGGAGCAAGGACAGACCUGCUGUGACCUACAAGAACCUCCAGUCUUGCCUGCACAGGACAGUGCUUCUGCUUUUCUCCUUUCCUGCUGUCUGCUGCUACGCUCCAGAGAAGCCAAGUUACAGCAGGACCAUAGCAGGACAACUGACAUGCGCUUAUACACCUGGAAGGGGAAGGAGGUCCUGGCCAUGCCCUGCUCUUGGCUGUAAGGCUCACCCAAAUCAGCUGCAGCGGGGCAGGAUGAGAACUGAAGCUUCAGUAAGCACUCGGUGCAUUUGGCUGGGGGGGUCUUGUACCACCAGGAAACUGUUCUGGACAGUCCCCCUACCUACCUGCAAAAAAAUGAGAGAAAAUGCAUAAUAUCCUGCGUUAUUCAAGUCCCCUGCUCCAAGUGACACUAGCACAGGUUUUUAGGCUGCUUUUAGUGCUUUUUGACAGAGGGGGGAGCUGUCAGCUCACCAGUGAACUGCUCAGCAAGCAGAGAUCCCACCUGGGAGCUGGUUAAGCUGCCUGGGUGGCCCACUGAAGGAGGACGGUAAGCCUGACUUGCAGGAGGUGGAUGCUAGCCUGAAAAUGCUUAAAUCUUUUGCUUUAAGAUUAAAUGCUUAAAUCUUUUGCUUUUGUAUGGGGCGUUUUGUGUCUCUGCACAAUGAAAACCACAAUAACUAGUCAGUGGGCCUGAGAAGCUGUUUGGAGGUGAAACAUUUGGCAGUGGGGUCCUGCAGUUUUUGUUGCUGUAGCGAUGUCCCCCUCCGUUGCACCAAAAGCCCCUGGAAAAGUGCAGCCUGUGCAACCCCUUCCUGCUAAUGGCUAGAGACAGAGCACCCUCCUCUCUGUCCGAGUGAUGCAAGCAGCCCUUUUAUCUGGCAUACCUGCCAGGCAGCAGAAAAAGCUAGGUUAAACUGGUCUGAGGUUGACUCAAGCCAAUGUGGACUGGUCUUGAGUGGAAUAACAACCUGAUCCCAUCUGACAUUUCUCCUGGUACAACUCAACAGUAGUCUUCCUCCUUCAGCCAAUAGCAGUGUGACAAAGUCUGGCUUAAUUACAACCCUGAAGUAAAAAGAAUUUCUUUAUUA
Molecule: long non-coding RNA, 1229 nt
Organism: Grus americana (Whooping crane)
Lineage: Eukaryota; Metazoa; Chordata; Aves; Gruiformes; Gruidae
Exons: 3
Source: RefSeq, a predicted model, not a curated record